Molecule: ribosomal RNA, 497 nt
Filed under: uncultured bacterium
Lineage: Bacteria
Description: partial 16S ribosomal RNA
Rfam family: Bacterial small subunit ribosomal RNA
Source: RNAcentral
GAUGAACGCUGGCGGCGUGCCUAACACAUGCAAGUCGAGCGAACAGACGAGGAGCUUGCUCCUCUGACGUGAGCGGCGGACGGGUGAGUAACACGUGGAUAACCUCCCUAUCAGACUGGUAUAACUUCGGGACACCGGAGCUAAUACCGUAUAAUAUAUUGAACCGCAUGGUUCAAUGGUGAAAGACGGUUUUGCUGUCUCUUAUAGAUGGAUCCGCGCCGCAUUAGCUAGUUGGUACGGUAACGGCUUACCACGGCGACGAUGCGUAGCCGACGUGAGAGAGUGAUAGGCGACACGAGAGGGUAGCCAGGGUCAAGGGGACUGAGAGAGGCAGCAGAAGGGAAUGGGAGGCAGUAGGCGAAAGUCUUACGGAGUAGGGGGGCGUGUGAGAUGGAGGUCUUCGGAUCGUAAUACCGUGUUAUGAGGGAAGAACAAAUGUGUAAUGAAAUAUGCACGGCGUGACGGUACCUAAUCAGAAAGCAACGGCUAACUACGUG